RNAcentral lists this long non-coding RNA (781 nucleotides) under Danio rerio (zebrafish). RNAcentral describes it as "lncRNA si:ch211-11c3.8 (ENSDARG00000103178.2)". The record is from RNAcentral. Lineage: Eukaryota; Metazoa; Chordata; Actinopteri; Cypriniformes; Danionidae.
CUCACUUGUUCAUGCCAUUAAGAUCAAUAUUUUAUUCUUAGCAAUAAAAUGAGUUCAGUGAAACCGGAUGUGCUCAGUCAAGAAAAUGGUGUGAGUUGCUCUGGAACCACUGAGUUAUUUUCUCUAAUCACGUCUGCACCGGCCACAUCUCAGCCCAUAUCUAAAGAUUUGGAGCACCCAGUGUCACAUCAGCACAACACAGCAGAUCCUGAAAACAUGUUUGUUACUUCUGUAAACCCAAUGUACCAGACCUCAGAUGUUUUGGUCCCUAAACAACAGAAAUCAGAAAAUACAGAAGAAAACGAGAAUGUUUACCAUCUGUACUGCACAAUUCCUGAUAAACCAGUUCACUCAAACAAAUGAGAUCAAGAAGAUGUACUGAUGAGUUCAGAAGAUUAUCUAGAGGAUUUGCUCUGACAAAGUCCAACAAUUACAUCUAAGAAUUGCUUGUCUUUUUGAUAAUAAGGAACUAAAUCAAUGACUAAUGUAACCAUCUUUGCAUUUUAAUAUAUUUGGAAAGCCAAUGUUAUGUUUUCUGAGUUUUAGUAUGUGAGCAAUAUAAGAAGUUAACACAUUUGGUUAUAGAGGUCUGACUGCUGUUUUUCCUGCUGGUUAAUUAGAAGGUUUACUAGUUAAAAAAAAUGUAUAUAUAGUUUCUGAGAAAAAUGCUAACUGCAUUACAAAAUGUUUGCCACUGUUUAAGGCAUUUUAACUGAAUUGUCCACCGAAUUGAUUGAUAGGCGCCAUGUUUCUAUAAUGACAUGUAUACACAUCCACAGAA